AAAGUGGGCCAGGCGGUCGCUCCGUCCGAGGUUCGUACGGAACUCGUUUCCGGCCGGGCGCGGGCGGGGAGGAAAGUCCGAACUGGACAGGGCACGGUGAUGGCUAACGGCCACCGGUGGCGACGCCAGGGAAAGUGCCACAGAAAACAUACCGCCGCCGACCUGCUUCGGCAUGUCGGAGGUAAGGGUGAAAUGGUGCGGUAAGAGCGCACCGCGCGACCGGUGACGGUCGUGGCAGGGCAAACCCCACCGCCAGCAAGCCCACAUAGACGGCGAGCGUCGGCGCGGCCGUGAUGCGGUGUGUCUGUCGGCACGCCUCGUCGCGGCCGCGCCGGCCCCGACGCGGCCCGCGUCGGACCACGCCGCGGGUAGGGUGCUCGAGCCGGCGGGCGACCGUCGGCCCAGAUAAAUGACCGCCACCCGGCGUUUCGGCGUCGGGAACGGAAUUCGGCUUACCGGCCCACUUUGCCG
This 471-nucleotide RNase P RNA is filed under the name Phycisphaerae bacterium. Its description in RNAcentral is "RNase P RNA component class A". It matches the Rfam family "Bacterial RNase P class A". Rfam says of the family: Ribonuclease P (RNase P) is a ubiquitous endoribonuclease, found in archaea, bacteria and eukarya as well as chloroplasts and mitochondria. Lineage: Bacteria; Pseudomonadati; Planctomycetota; Phycisphaerae. The record is from RNAcentral.